GAUUGGAUCACUCGGCUCAUGCAUCGAUGAAGAACGCAGCGAAAUGCGAUAAGUAAUGUGAAUUGCAGAAUUCAGUGAAUCAUCGAAUCUUUGAACGCACCUUGCACUCCUUGGUAUUCCGAGGAGCAUGCCUGUUUGAGUGUC
This 144-nucleotide ribosomal RNA is filed under the name Leucocoprinus gongylophorus. Its description in RNAcentral is "Leucoagaricus gongylophorus partial 5.8S ribosomal RNA". It matches the Rfam family "5.8S ribosomal RNA". Rfam says of the family: 5.8S ribosomal RNA (5.8S rRNA) is a component of the large subunit of the eukaryotic ribosome. It is transcribed by RNA polymerase I as part of the 45S precursor that also contains 18S and 28S rRNA. Functionally, it is thought that 5.8S rRNA may be involved in ribosome translocation. The record is from RNAcentral. Lineage: Eukaryota; Fungi; Basidiomycota; Agaricomycetes; Agaricales; Agaricaceae.